RNAcentral lists this ribosomal RNA (465 nucleotides) under uncultured bacterium. RNAcentral describes it as "partial 16S ribosomal RNA". It matches the Rfam family "Bacterial small subunit ribosomal RNA", at positions 338 to 795 of the family's 1533-position model. The record is from RNAcentral.
CCUACGGGUGGCAGCAGUAGGGAAUUUUCGUCAAUGGGCGCAAGCCUGAACGAGCGAUGCCGCGUGAGUGAAGAAGGCCUUCGGGUCGUAAAGCUCUGUUUCGGGGGAAAAAAGGCAGCAUCCGGAAAUGGGUGCUGACUGAUGGUGCCCCGCCAGAAAGUCACGGCUAACGCCGUGCCAGCAGCAGCGGUAAUACGUAGGUGGCGAGCGUUAUCCGGAAUGAUUGGGCGUAAAGGGUGCGCAGGCGGUCCUGCAAGUCUGGAGUGAAACGCAUGGGCUCAACUCAUGCAUGGCAUGGGAAACUGGAGGACUGGAGGGCAGGAGAGGGAGGUGGAACUCCAGGUGUAGCGGUGAAAUGCGUAGAUAUAUGGAAGAACACCAGUGGCGAAGGCGGCCGCCUGGCCUGUUGCUGACGCUGAGGCACGAAAGCGUGGGGAGCAAAUAGGAUUAGAUACCCGUGUAGUC